UAUGUGAUCGUCUCUCGCAUAUCAAUAAGCGGAGGAAAAGAAACUAACAAGGAUUCCCCUAGUAACGGCGAGUGAAGCGGGAAGAGCUCAAAUUUGAAAUCUUAAAGGGUUUCCCUUUACGAAUUGUAGUUUAAAGAAGUGUUUUCUGUUGAGGUUUUGGUAAAAGUUCUUUGGAAUAGGACAUCAUAGAGGGUGAGUAUCCCGUAUUUGACCUUUACUUUCAACUUUGUGAUACACUUUCAAAGAGUCGGAUUGUUUGGGAAUGCAGUCCAAAAUGGGUGGUAAAUUUCAUCUAAAGCUAAAUAUUGGCGAGAGACCGAUAGCGAACAAGUACCGUGAGGGAAAGAUGAAAAGAACUUUGAAAAGAGAGUUAAACAGUACGUGAAAUUGUCAAAAGGGAAGCGUUUGACACCAGUGUUGUUUUUCUGAAAAUCAAUUAAAGAACUGUUUAUGCUAAGUUGUUUAGACUUUAUCAGCUAACUGUUUAGUUUUGAGCUUUUCUUUAAUGCACUUUUCAGUUAACAAGUCAACAUCAAUUUCUUUUGCUGUAAAAAAGCUUGAGGAAGGUGGCUUGAGAUUCGUCUUAAGUGUUUAUAGCCUCUUGCCUAUGCAGUCGGAGAGAUUGAGGUCUGCAGCGUAGAUCCUUCGGGGCUAAAUGCAUUUGUGCUAAGUUAUAGCAUUUUAUAGACAACUUGUUGACUAUGAUUUGUCUUGUAGCUUACUCGCUUAUGUUAUUUUACCUACGCUUAGGAUGUUGAUCUACAGAGCGAGAGU
This 774-nucleotide ribosomal RNA is filed under the name uncultured Neocallimastigales. RNAcentral's name for it is "partial large subunit ribosomal RNA". It matches the Rfam family "Eukaryotic large subunit ribosomal RNA", at positions 24 to 631 of the family's 3401-position model. The record is from RNAcentral. Lineage: Eukaryota; Fungi; Neocallimastigomycota; Neocallimastigomycetes; Neocallimastigales.